CCUCUAGGGCUGCUUAUGGGGUGGUUCGGUUUGAUUUUAAAGUUUAUCGAUUUGACAUAUUUAUUAUCGGUUUGUAAUAAAACUAAAUCAUUAAGAACCAUUAAGAUAUCGGCUUAUUGGUUAUCGAUUUAUUGGUUAUUAAUUGUUAUCGGUUUGGUUAUUGGGUUAAACCGUUAACAUUCAAAUAUUUUCCAAACAUAAGCAAAUCAUACAGAAUCAUAUAAGUAUAACUAUGCCUUG
RNAcentral lists this long non-coding RNA (240 nucleotides) under Capsicum annuum. RNAcentral's name for it is "long non-coding RNA (CANN_LNC011733)". Lineage: Eukaryota; Viridiplantae; Streptophyta; Magnoliopsida; Solanales; Solanaceae. The record is from RNAcentral.